Molecule: long non-coding RNA, 2035 nt
Organism: Canis lupus familiaris (dog)
Lineage: Eukaryota; Metazoa; Chordata; Mammalia; Carnivora; Canidae
Exons: 4
Source: RefSeq, a predicted model, not a curated record
AUACCCCAGCUUCCACCCACACUGUUAGUCCUCUUGGGGGACAUGCUUGGGCCUCCUGAGUACUGUCCCCAUAGGUGAUUGGGUCCCCCAUUCUGAGAAGCCUCGGGCAAAGGUGUUUUGCCCAUCUUACCAGGGUCUCUGGGUAUAGAUUCAGCCUGGACCAAUGGGUCUACUGGCUCUUGCUUGAUGGAUCUGUUGUAGCAGUUGGAGCUCUGUGCAAAGGGAGAGGGGUCCCUGGAUGCUGGGUGGAUCUGGGGAGCCUUGGGAAGCAGAUACUCCUUGGGGCCUGGAUAAGCAGGCUGCUGGUGGUGAGGAGUGGGGUGGUGGGUGUCUGUGGGAACAGCCUGGCCAGGCAGCUCGGCAAACUCAGCACCACCGUAGGCCGGGCUCAGGCUGUUGUGCAGAGCAUGGAGGUCUGGCUUCUUCUCAAAACUGCUGCCACCACCACUGUGUCCCCAGGUGCCAGGACCCAGGAACUGUGAGGGGAAGACGGGGUUGCUGGAUGGAAAGCCAUAAUAGCCGAAUGAUGGAAGAGCGUACUUGGAGUGGAAGCCGUUGACGGAGGCGGGCAAAGACUAAAGAAAUUGAGAAAGCCCUGUGUUACAAGUAAGCCAGAGAAGCAGCACUCUAAAGCCUAUAAAUGGCCUUUCCCUGGGACCUCAAGGAGAUCAUUCCACCUCUGCACCAAGAUGUGCUAGAAACCCUCAUGGUACCGUGUGGACAAGGCCCUGCCCCAUCUGGCUUCCAGCCCUGGACAAGGAAGAGGACAAGGAGCAAGAGAAUGCUUCUAACUUCAUAAAGGAGAUCCUACCACUCCCAGCCCUGCCUGCCUUCUGGACUCCCUGUGACUGACCCCUGCCUGCCUCUGAGCCUUGGCCUGUGCUGGUCCUUCUGCCUGGAGCGCUCCAACCCUAGACACUCCACCCCCCACCCUACCCCACCCCCUGUCCCUUACUCUCACUUCAUUCAUGUCUCAGCUCAGGUGCCCCUCCUCAGAAGGGCCUCUCUGCCUAUGGCCUUUCAAACAGAAUCUGCUCUCAUCUUCCCCCUUCCCCUACUCCAUCUUUUCCUCACAGCCUUCAUCACUACCUGAUACAAUUAAUAUUACACACUUGGGCGGGACUUGGUCCAUUUUAUUCCCCAGCAUCUAGACCAGCACCUGGGGCACAAUAAACAUUUACUCUAUGGCUGAAUCAAGAGGUUGUUUGGGUUUACAUCCAAGUGUUUCAUGGAGACCUAGAAUGGUUUUUCGGUAAGUGAGGGCCUCCAGGUGUCCCAGAGAUGGCACUCUGCAGCAUCUGCCUGAGACACAGAGGCAAGGCCAGCCUUGUCCAAGCAUUCCAGUUCAUGCAUUUCUCAGAGAAGUGGGCAGGAGCAGGCAGUCUGGCAGGGCACCUCCCAGAGAUCUGAGACUCUUGUCUCCAGGUCCCUCCCUACUCUGAGGCCACCGGUCUGCACAAACCAGUACCCCCCCAAGAUCAUCCCGCAGGGGGCGCUGUGACAGGUCCCAGGUCCCUUACCACUGUGCACCCAUUGUAGAGGUUAUGCUGGUCCUUGUGGGCGUGGGCACAGAAGUCCAUGCAAGCGGUGACCCCCGAGAAAGGCCGCCCUUCCUUCAGCCCCAGGCGGCAGUCGAUCGCUAUUUCCUCAUUGGUCACCUGAGUAGACAGCCAAAGAGAAGAGCUUGUGUAACCUGAGGUCAGUGGCCUGGAUUCUGAACCAGGGAGGCUAGGGAUGGGAGGAAGAGGGAAGUUGGUUGGUUAAGGACCACAGCUGCCCUGUGCAUGGGCUGCAGGAAGAAGGCUUUCUCGCUGAAGCCUUUGUAGGAAUUACUUCCUUCUGAGUUAUCUCAAAUCCCCCUCACCUCACCUGGGAGAUGAAGGGGUGACAGGAGAAAGAAACACAAGCCUCCCCAGGAGAAGCCAGACCAGAGGAGGUGGAAGAUUACUAGGGGGAGAGGCAUGAAUACAGGGAUAGAGGAGAGAUGGUCUGGGAUGCAGUUAGCUCAGUGUAAAGAAAGGAUCUUAUUAAAGAC